Molecule: long non-coding RNA, 1122 nt
Filed under: Homo sapiens (human)
Lineage: Eukaryota; Metazoa; Chordata; Mammalia; Primates; Hominidae
Description: non-protein coding LINC02109:32
Source: RNAcentral
UCCAGAGACAGAGGAAAGGCUGAAGGUUGAGUUGAUUACCAGUAGCUCACGAUAUAAUCAUUCAUGCCUACAUAACACAGCUUUCAUAAGAACCCAAUAGGACAGGGUUCAAGGACCCUCUAAAGAAUGCCACACCUAUAGAGGCAUGGAAACUCUUUGCCACUUUCAUCUGACUAUUGAUCUAUAUCCUUUGUAAUGCCUCUUAUAAGAAAUGGGCAGAUUCUAGCAGUGUUUGUGAGAAAAACUGAUGGAUCCUGCAGAUUAACUAUGGACAGCCAAAUAUUGAGUAAAGUGAUGUCUACAACAGCAUCAGCUAUGCCUGAUAUGGUGUUAAUUCACAUUGUGAAGUUCCAAAAUCAGAAGAUGAUACAGAAAGAUUGCUCUGGUUGCCUGGUUUCUGAAGAAAUCGUGUACCCUGUCUGGAUAGUGUCUUACUUCCUAUCCACAAAGUUGUGAAAUAAUCUGGAAUUAAAUGGCAACCUAAACAACCCUAGAGUUGCCUGAACACAGAGCCAUUGCUGUGUUGAUCAUUAUAGCAGUCCUCAAUAGGAAAAAGAUGCCUCCCUGGUCGACCUUCCUGGAAAGUAUGCAUAUCAUUACUGCUUAGAUUUUGUUGGAGAGAAAUCACACUACCAUCAAAGACAACGGGUCAAAAAGAAUGCCGUCCUAAGCUGAGAAGCCAUCUUCCUAACGACAGCCAUGUAAUAUGAAAGGGAAAAACACACUGUUAUUGAAGAACUUAUCAGCUAUGUCACAUCUUCCACACAAAUACUCAGGAAAGUUAAAAGAAAAUUUUACCUCGGACACAGUUGAUGUACCUCAGUCUUGUACAAAACUUAGAACUCACUAAGUCUGAAAUAAGACUUUAAACUCUCUCUGAGGAUUGCUAAAGUCCUAUUGCAUGCUUUAAGAUGCCUUGCGUUUGGUGAAUUGAAGCCUGAUAUGUCAACAUACUCUCUGUAAACACAGCAGCACAGAGGGCAAAGAAACACUUAUCCAGCACCACAGCUAGGACAAAAGGAAUUAUUUUGACAGUAAAUGGACUUGCAGCUUAAGUUAAGUGCAUUAAUAUUGGGAUGGUAUUAACUAUACAAAAUUGUUUCUAAGCAAAGGUGACCAGAU